GAUGAAGAACGCAGUGAAAUGCGAUAAGUAAUGUGAAUUGCAGAAUUAAGUGAAUCAUCGAAUCUUUGAACGCACAUUGCGCCCGCCAGUAUUCUGGCGGGCAUGCCUGUCUGAGCGUCAUUUCAACCCUCAUGCCCCUAGGGCGUGGUGUUGGGGAUCGGCCAAAGCCCGCGAGGGACGGCCGGCCCCUAAAUCUAGUGGCGGACCCGUCGUGGCCUCCUCUGCGAAGUAGUGAUAUUCCGCAUCGGAGAGCGAUGAGCCCCUGCCGUUAAACCCCCAACUUUCCAAGGUUGACCUCAGAUCAGGUAGGAAUACCCGCUGAACUUAAGCAUAUCAAUAAGCGGAGGA
RNAcentral lists this unclassified non-coding RNA (348 nucleotides) under soil metagenome. RNAcentral's name for it is "partial contains 5.8S ribosomal RNA, internal transcribed spacer 2, and large subunit ribosomal RNA". The stretch from base 1 to 120 matches the Rfam family "5.8S ribosomal RNA", at positions 35 to 154 of the family's 154-position model. The record is from RNAcentral.